This 460-nucleotide ribosomal RNA is filed under the name uncultured bacterium. RNAcentral describes it as "partial 16S ribosomal RNA". It matches the Rfam family "Bacterial small subunit ribosomal RNA", at positions 338 to 795 of the family's 1533-position model. The record is from RNAcentral.
CCUACGGGAGACAGCAGUGAGGAAUAUUGGUCAAUGGGCGCGAGCCUGAACCAGCCAAGUAGCGUGAAGGAUGACUGCCCUACGGGUUGUAAACUUCUUUUAUAAAGGAAUAAAGUGCGGCACGUGUGCCUUUUUGUAUGUACUUUUUGAAUAAGGCUCGGCCAACUCCGUGCCAGCAGCCGCGGUAAUACGGAGGACCCGAGUGUUAUCCGGAUUUAUUGGUUUUAAAGGGAGCGUAGAUGGGUUGUUAAGUCAGUUGUGAAAGUUUGCGGCUCAACCGUAAAAUUGCAAUUGAAACUGGCAGGCUGGAGUACAGGUGAGGUAGGCGGAAUUCGUGGUGUAGCGGUGAAAUGCUUAGAUAUCACGAAGAACUCCGAUUGCGAAGGCAGCUUACUAAACUGCCACUGACAUUGAUGCUCGAAAGUGUGGGUAUCAAACAGGAUUAGAUACCCUUGUAGUC